GCUCUUUUAGUAUAAUCAGUACAGCUGACUUCCAAUCAGCCAGAUUCAGCCUCAUCUGAAAAAGAGCA
This 68-nucleotide transfer RNA is filed under the name Petrodromus tetradactylus (four-toed elephant shrew). RNAcentral's name for it is "tRNA-Gly". The record is from RNAcentral. Lineage: Eukaryota; Metazoa; Chordata; Mammalia; Macroscelidea; Macroscelididae.